UGCAAGUCGAGCGGAAACGAGUUAUCUGAACCUUCGGGGAACGAUAACGGCGUCGAGCGGCGGACGGGUGAGUAAUGCCUAGGAAAUUGCCCUGRUGUGGGGGAUAACCAUUGGAAACGAUGGCUAAUACCGCAUAAUACCUACGGGUCAAAGAGGGGGACCUUCGGGCCUCUCGCGUCAGGAUAUGCCUAGGUGGGAUUAGCUAGUUGGUGAGGUAAUGGCUCACCAAGGCGACGAUCCCUAGCUGGUCUGAGAGGAUGAUCAGCCACACUGGAACUGAGACACGGUCCAGACUCCUACGGGAGGCAGCAGUGGGGAAUAUUGCACAAUGGGCGCAAGCCUGAUGCAGCCAUGCCGCGUGUGUGAAGAAGGCCUUCGGGUUGUAAAGCACUUUCAGUCGUGAGGAAGGUAGUGUAGUUAAUAGCUGCAUUAUUUGACGUUAGCGACAGAAGAAGCACCGGCUAACUCCGUGCCAGCAGCCGCGGUAAUACGGAGGGUGCGAGCGUUAAUCGGAAUUACUGGGCGUAAAGCGCAUGCAGGUGGUUUGUUAAGUCAGAUGUGAAAGCCCGGGGCUCAACCUCGGAAUAGCAUUUGAAACUGGCAGACUAGAGUACUGUAGAGGGGGGUAGAAUUUCAGGUGUAGCGGUGAAAUGCGUAGAGAUCUGAAGGAAUACCGGUGGCGAAGGCGGCCCCCUGGACAGAUACUGACACUCAGAUGCGAAAGCGUGGGGAGCAAACAGGAUUAGAUACCCUGGUAGUCCACGCCGUAAACGAUGUCUACUUGGAGGUUGUGGCCUUGAGCCGUGGCUUUCGGAGCUAACGCGUUAAGUAGACCGCCUGGGGAGUACGGUCGCAAGAUUAAAACUCAAAUGAAUUGACGGGGGCCCGCACAAGCGGUGGAGCAUGUGGUUUAAUUCGAUGCAACGCGAAGAACCUUACCUACUCUUGACAUCCAGAGAACUUUCCAGAGAUGGAUUGGUGCCUUCGGGAACUCUGAGACAGGUGCUGCAUGGCUGUCGUCAGCUCGUGUUGUGAAAUGUUGGGUUAAGUCCCGCAACGAGCGCAACCCUUAUCCUUGUUUGCCAGCACUUCGGGUGGGAACUCCAGG
This 1108-nucleotide ribosomal RNA is filed under the name Vibrio sp. RNAcentral describes it as "bacterial SSU rRNA". It matches the Rfam family "Bacterial small subunit ribosomal RNA", at positions 56 to 1144 of the family's 1533-position model. The record is from RNAcentral. Lineage: Bacteria; Pseudomonadati; Pseudomonadota; Gammaproteobacteria; Vibrionales; Vibrionaceae.